RNAcentral lists this ribosomal RNA (379 nucleotides) under uncultured bacterium. RNAcentral's name for it is "bacterial SSU rRNA". It matches the Rfam family "Bacterial small subunit ribosomal RNA", at positions 102 to 477 of the family's 1533-position model. The record is from RNAcentral.
ACGGGUGAGUACGCGUGGGUGACCUGCCUUCGAGUGGGGGAUAACGUUUCGAAAGGAACCGCGUAGUACCGCAUGACAUCCUGCCUUUUAACAGGCGGUAGAUCAAAGCCGGGGAUCGCAAGACCUGGCGCUUGAAGAGGGGCCCGUGUCCGAUUAGCUAGUUGGUGGGGUAACGGUUCACCAAGGCAACGAUCGGUAGCCGGCCUGAGAGGGCGGACGGCCACAGUGGGACUGAGACAGGUCCAAGACUCAUAGGAGCAAGUAGGAAUUGUCGCAAAUGGGCGCAAGCCUGACGACGCAACGCCGCGUGGAGGAUGAAGACCUUCGGGUACGUAAACUUCCUUUCGAUACGAGACGAAUGGCCUCCGGGUGAACAAUC